GCUUAUUCUCAGGGCGGGGUGCAAGUCCCCACCGGCGGUAAAUCACCUGUUACGGUGAAAGCCCGCGAGCGCUCAGCCAGUCUUUUGCAGUUUGGUUAGAGGUCAGCAGAUCCGGUGUAAUUCCGGGGCCGACGGUUAUAGUCCGGAUGGGAGAGAGUAACG
Hammondia hammondi is the source of this 162-nucleotide non-coding RNA. The record is from Rfam. NCBI's taxonomy places the organism in Eukaryota, Apicomplexa, Conoidasida, Eucoccidiorida, Sarcocystidae.